AGUGAACGCUGGCGGUAGGCCUAACACAUGCAAGUCGAACGGCAGCACAGUAAGAGCUUGCUCUUACGGGUGGCGAGUGGCGGACGGGUGAGGAAUACAUCGGAAUCUACUUUUUCGUGGGGGGUAACGUAGGGAAACUUACGCUAAUACCGCAUACGACCUACGGGUGAAAGCAGGGGAUCUUCGGACCUUGCGCGAUUGAAUGAGCCGAUGUCGGAUUAGCUAGUUGGCGGGGGAAAGGCCCACCAAGGCGACGAUCCGUAGCUGGUCUGAGAGGAUGAUCACCCACACUGGAACUGAGACACGGUCCGGCCCCCCAGGGGAGGCCCCAGGGGGGAAUUUUGGACAAGGGGCGCAACCCUGACCCAGCCAUACCGCGGGGGUGAAGAAGGCCUUCGGGUUGUAAAGCCCUUUUGUUGGGAAAGAAAAGCAGCAGGUUAACACCCCGCUUUUCUGACGGUACCCAAAGAAUAAGCACCGGCUAACUUCGU
Molecule: ribosomal RNA, 491 nt
Filed under: uncultured bacterium
Lineage: Bacteria
Description: partial 16S ribosomal RNA
Rfam family: Bacterial small subunit ribosomal RNA
Source: RNAcentral